This 274-nucleotide ribosomal RNA is filed under the name uncultured bacterium. RNAcentral's name for it is "partial 16S ribosomal RNA". It matches the Rfam family "Bacterial small subunit ribosomal RNA", at positions 523 to 796 of the family's 1533-position model. The record is from RNAcentral.
AUACGGAGGGUGCAAGCGUUAAUCGGAAUUAUUGGGCGUAAAGGGCGCGUAGGCGGUCUUGUCGGUCAGAUGUGAAAGCCCAGGGCUCAACCCUGGACGUGCAUUUGAAACAGCAAGACUUGAGUACGGGAGAGGAAAGCGGAAUUCCUGGUGUAGAGGUGAAAUUCGUAGAUAUCAGGAGGAACACCGAUGGCGAAGGCAGCUUUCUGGACCGAUACUGACGCUGAGGCGCGAAGGCGUGGGUAGCGAACAGGAUUAGAAACCCGGGUAGUCC